GCGCAUAAUAGUUCAUCGAAGAUUCAUGUCCUGAAAACAUUACUAUGUAUCUGGUUCAUCUGAAAAAUUGACCUACAGCUUGAUAUGAACCAAACUAUGUAAAGACCAGCUUAGUCUCGACUCUUAAAUCAUCGAGUGGUUCUGUAUGCCUUUACACAUCUCAGUAGUUCCCUCGCCUCGCUGUUGUUUCUGAAGUGGUCACGCACAGGCUGCAAAAUUUCAUUCAGAGCUUUUGCAAGAGCUGGCUUUAGAUCGGAAGGAUGCAAUGCACCACUUUCGUAGUCCGCAACUAGUUCUUCCAUUGUGCUAUAUGUCUUGUCUCCACCAUUUUUUUCAACUCGUUUGACCUCAAAAUGACUGAACCACGGGAAAAUGAUG
Molecule: unclassified non-coding RNA, 378 nt
Filed under: Hevea brasiliensis (rubber tree)
Lineage: Eukaryota; Viridiplantae; Streptophyta; Magnoliopsida; Malpighiales; Euphorbiaceae
Source: RNAcentral